UCUAGGAUGUGUGCAAUUUCG
This 21-nucleotide non-coding RNA is filed under the name Caenorhabditis elegans. The record is from RNAcentral. Lineage: Eukaryota; Metazoa; Nematoda; Chromadorea; Rhabditida; Rhabditidae.